RNAcentral lists this ribosomal RNA (656 nucleotides) under uncultured fungus. RNAcentral's name for it is "eukaryotic LSU rRNA". It matches the Rfam family "Eukaryotic large subunit ribosomal RNA", at positions 24 to 664 of the family's 3401-position model. The record is from RNAcentral. Lineage: Eukaryota; Fungi.
CCCGCUGAACUUAAGCAUAUCAAUAAGCGGAGGAAAAGAAACUAACAAGGAUUCCCUUAGUAACGGCGAGUGAAGAGGGAAGAGCUCAAAUUUUGAAUCGGACAUCUUUGGUGUUCGAGUUGUAAUCUAGAGAAGUGUUUUCCGUGAUGGACCAUGCAUAAGUCUCCUGGAAUGGAGUGUCAAAGAGGGUGAGAAUCCCGUUUAUGGCAUGGACUCCCAUUGCUCUGUGAUACACUCUCAACGAGUCGAGUUGUUUGGGAUUGCAGCUCCAAAUGGGUGGUAAAUGCCAUCUAAAGCUAAAUAUUGGCGAGAGACCGAUAGCAAACAAGUACCGUGAGGGAAAGAUGAAAAGCACUUUGGAAAGGGAGUGAAACAGUACGUGAAAUUGUUGAAAGGGAAACGCUUGAAGUCAGUCACACCGUUCAGGAUUCAGCCUUGCUUCUGCUUGGUUUACUUCCUGUUGGGUGGGUCAACAUCAGUCUUGAUCAGAGGAAAAAGGCUGGGGGAAGGUGGCAGCAUUUAUGCUGUGUUAUAGCCCCUUGCUGUAUACUUUGGUUGGGACUGAGGACUGCAGCACGCCUUCUGGCUGGGGUUCGCCCACAUACGUGCUUAGGAUGUUGGCAUAAUGGCUCUAAGCGACCCGUCUUGAAACACGG